RNAcentral lists this transfer RNA (77 nucleotides) under Kiloniellaceae bacterium. Its description in RNAcentral is "tRNA-OTHER". It matches the Rfam family "tRNA". Rfam says of the family: Transfer RNA (tRNA) molecules are approximately 80 nucleotides in length. Their secondary structure includes four short double-helical elements and three loops (D, anti-codon, and T loops). Further hydrogen bonds mediate the characteristic L-shaped molecular structure. tRNAs have two regions of fundamental functional importance: the anti-codon, which is responsible for specific mRNA codon recognition, and the 3' end, to which the tRNAs corresponding amino acid is attached (by aminoacyl-tRNA synthetases). tRNAs cope with the degeneracy of the genetic code in two manners: having more than one tRNA (with a specific anti-codon) for a particular amino acid; and 'wobble' base-pairing, i.e. permitting non-standard base-pairing at the 3rd anti-codon position. The record is from RNAcentral. Lineage: Bacteria; Pseudomonadati; Pseudomonadota; Alphaproteobacteria; Rhodospirillales; Kiloniellaceae.
GCCAGACUAGCUCAGUGGUGAGAGCGCCGGGCCCUUGUGCCCGGAGGUCGCGGGUUCGAUCCCCGUGUCUGGCACCG